UGAGGAAUAUUGGUCAAUGGACGAGAGUCUGAACCAGCCAAGUAGCGUGCAGGAAGACGGCCCUAUGGGUUGUAAACUGCUUUUAUACGGGGAUAAAGUUAGCCACGUGUGGCUAUUUGCAGGUACCGUAUGAAUAAGGACCGGCUAAUUCCGUGCCAGCAGCCGCGGUAAUACGGAAGGUCCGGGCGUUAUCCGGAUUUAUUGGGUUUAAAGGGAGCGUAGGCCGGAGAUUAAGCGUGUUGUGAAAUGUAGGAGCUCAACUUCUGCACUGCAGCGCGAACUGGUUUCCUUGAGUACGUAGGAAGUUGGCGGAAUUCGUGGUGUAGCGGUGAAAUGCUUAGAUAUCACGAAGAACUCCGAUUGCGAAGGCAGCUGACUGUAUCGUAACUGACGCUGAAGCUCGAAAGUGUGGGUAUCGAACAGG
RNAcentral lists this ribosomal RNA (424 nucleotides) under uncultured bacterium. RNAcentral's name for it is "bacterial SSU rRNA". It matches the Rfam family "Bacterial small subunit ribosomal RNA", at positions 355 to 776 of the family's 1533-position model. The record is from RNAcentral.